Molecule: ribosomal RNA, 468 nt
Filed under: uncultured bacterium
Lineage: Bacteria
Description: partial 16S ribosomal RNA
Rfam family: Bacterial small subunit ribosomal RNA
Source: RNAcentral
GACGAACGCUGGCGGCGUGCUUAACACAUGCAAGUCGAACGGAAAGGUCCUGCUUUUGUGCGGUGCUCUAGUGGCGAACGGGUGAGUAACACGUGAGUAACCUGCCCUUGACUUUGGGAUAACUUCAGGAAACUUGGUCUAAUACCGGAUAGGAGCUCCUGCUGCAUGGUGGGGGUUGGAUAGUUUCGGCGGUUGGGGAUGGACUCGCGGCCUAUCAGCUUGUUGGUUGGGUAGUGGCUUACCAAGGCUUUGCCGGGUAGCCGGGCUGAGAGGGUGACCGGCCAAAUUGGGACUGAGAUGCGGCACAGACUCCAACGGGACGCAGCGGUGGGGAAUAUUGCACAAUGGGCGGAAGCAUGAUGCAGCAACGCCGCGUGCGGGAUGAGGGCCUUCGGGUUGGAAACCACUUUCGCCUGUGACGAAGCGUGAGUGACGGUACUGGGUAAAGAAGCACCGGCUAACUACGUG